CAGCAUCCACGGACAGACCUUGAACAAUCUGGUGUUGUUCUUUUGGUUGGCACUAGGAUGAGAAAGAAAGAAAAACAAAAAUCCCUGCACUUUCUGUCCAUCUUUGUGGUGGCCCAGAUUGAAUAGGAGACAACAUCU
Molecule: small nucleolar RNA, 138 nt
Organism: Molossus molossus (Pallas's mastiff bat)
Lineage: Eukaryota; Metazoa; Chordata; Mammalia; Chiroptera; Molossidae
Product: small nucleolar RNA SNORA31
Exons: 1
Source: RefSeq, a predicted model, not a curated record